Molecule: unclassified non-coding RNA, 3603 nt
Filed under: Rhipicephalus microplus (southern cattle tick)
Lineage: Eukaryota; Metazoa; Arthropoda; Arachnida; Ixodida; Ixodidae
Description: armadillo repeat-containing protein 7-like, transcript variant X1
Source: RNAcentral
GCAGUUGUAAAUGGCGCCUGACGCGCAGCAGUUUGAGCAUCUGUCAGUCGCGUAGGCUUUCGACGUUGACACGUUUCUUGCGGUCAGCUCGCGUACACAAUGACCCGGUACGACCCUAAAGAACGGUUCAGGUACCUCAAGGAGUUGGUGACAGAGUUUAACACUAGCUGCUCCAACGAGGCGAAAGAGCAGGUUCUGGCCAACUUGGCUAACUUUGCCUACGACCCGAUCAACUACGACCAUCUCAAACGCCUGAACAUUGUCAGCUUAUUUAUGGAUCAGUUGGACAGUGCCAAUGAUAACCUGAGAGAGUUUGCCAUUGGCGGCAUCUGCAACCUCACUUCGGACCAGGACUUCCGUACAGAGGUCCUAAAGCCCGACAACCUCAACAAGCUGAUCAGCUGCCUAUCAACAUCGCAGGAAGAGACAGUGUUGUCUGCAAUAACAACGCUUAUUUCUCUGGGACUGUCCGGUUGCCAGUCAGAUAUCACAACAGCAUCUGUGAUCGACUGCAUGGUGCGAUAUUCAGAAUCUCCGAACACGAGGCUCAGCAACCUCGCCAAGCUUUUCCUCGAAGAUAUCUGCAGCCCGGAACAGAUCAACAGUGUGGCGAAUGCUGCUUCUGCUGCUGUUCCAUAGAGUAAAAUGGGUGUUAUGUGGCUUCAAGUUGCAUGGCCCACUGGAUCUUUGUACAGAUACUUGCAUUUUUGUACCCCUUUUCGAAUGGGGUUGUUUCGUUAAUAAAAGGCCAUUCUGGCCCUAAGUGUAACAUGAAUCGUAGCCAGAAGAGGCAUAAGAAGUGUACCUUAUAGAAUAGGCGUACCUUAUAGGCCCAUUGUAUUUACAGAAGUCAUUUCUAACCAUGAUGCUUGUCAUUGUAAACUGGGUCAUAAUAAUGAGAGAUUGUGUAGAGUAUCGGUAUAGAGAUUAACGUGCCAAAAAAUGCUGAGACGAAACGUACGUAGUCUUUAUAGCUGCCAAUUGCAAACUGAUUUCUCCGCUUGCUAGCACAAGAUUGUAUAAAUCACAAUCGCACAUCAUGAAGCACACGAUCGCAGCAGCAUGUGCAUCAUCAUCGGUGAACACAAUAGCUGUAGAGAGCCUGUGCACUAACAAUGCUAAACAAGAUACAAACUUACAUUGAACCAAAAGGACAUUUCCAAUGAAAUUGCUAUCUACUAAGUUUUCAGUUUUCAUCACUUUUCCACCGUUCUUUUUAAACCUUUUUUUUAUUUUUGUGUUGACAAUUUUUUAUCGUGAAGGCCAAUUUGAUUCCUAGAGUCUAGUGUCACAUGGGAGGUUUUCGGCAUUCAUAACGUGAGACUUGUUUUAACGUAAAAGCAUUGAAAAACACAUUUCACGGAAACUUUGCGGUCACUGUAGGCGUGGGCAACGUUUGUUGUGAGCGAAAAAUCAUCUUGGGUGUGACUGAACAAUCGAGAAAGACACAAAUAAAGUAAGUAAUAAAAUUUCGUGGUUCGAAUCAGAAUUGAACUCGGGCAGUUUGCAUGGCUAGCAGGUGUUCUACCAUACAGCCAAGCAUCUGCUUGUGAAUAUAGUGAAAAUAACUUACUUUGAUUGGAAAUGCAGUGCAAGCAACUUUCACACUUUACAAACACACGCGUCUCGUAUACAUGCUUCGUAAUACUACAUGAAAUAUUGCAGUAACAUUGCGUUGUACAAGCGUCCAUUGCAAUCAAGCGUCGGAACAUGUGCUUAUCAUAACGAAUUCAUGAUUUAAAGUCUGCCACCAAUUGCAAAAGGCACACACAUUACAGUUUAUUUAAGACCACGUAGUGGGUGCAUAGCAAGUUCGAAAACGUUUCACACGCAUAAUUGCUCGGGGUUUAAACGAACACCAAAGGUAAAUAUUAAGCCGACGUUGAUUGUUGAAUGAGCGGUUCAGAAACCUCGAAGUGCUUAUUUCGAAAUGAAAUCGCAUUUCAGUGGUCCGCAUCGCAUUAGCGCACUUCGAAUCGCCCUUCUGAAAGCGGGUCUUUCUGAGGUCACUGUUGCCGUUCCCAAGGUUGCCCGCCUUUACUGUGCAACCACCGACACUGUUGGCAGCAGAGCGAAAGUAGCGGGAGCUACAGCAGCAAUAACGACCACUGAACAAUUUUCUGCUUGCUUGGUUCAACUGAACUCCACUAGAUGGCACCACCUACUCAGCCUAACCGGUGAAAACAAAACUUUUGAACCACUCGCGUCAUUCCCCGUAGUGACACCAGGCAGUUCUUUAUCUAUGAAUCGAACAUAAACAGAUGAGCAGCAUUUUUAUUUCGUGUUGUAAUGUACACAAGGUUCUUUUUUAAUGCUGCUCAUUUGAUUACCAGUGUUUAAUUGUAGUAAGACGCUCUCGCAUCAUUGGGAUUAUUUAAAAAAUGUCGCUCUCGUGGCGUGGCGCAUGUGGUGUCGUACGUUUACCCUAAUUUUUCUAUUACUAGAGCACUGCUGUUGAAUUGAUGUUCUAGACAUACCCAACACUGAUCUUUCACUCUGAAGUAAAUUAUUUGCCUUCAGUGUAAAGCAUGCUACCCAUUACACAGAAUGCAGCCAUACACAAAAGUUUCACUGACAAGCCACAUUCAACUUUUAUUGAUUAAAUUGUAGUAAUCCACAAUUUAAUUUUCCCGAGUUAGGUAAUAUAACAAAAAGUACGCACCAAGUGGUUGAAGUAUGCACUAGGGACAGGGUAUGGCUAUCGAGGUCAACUCUUAAUGGAGAAACUGAAGGGUCCCCUCAAUUUUUUAUCUCUUGACAAACGCAUUAGUGGCCAUAAUCAUAUGAUUUUGAGGGCUUGGCAAUGUGUGCAUGACUACCUGUCCUUUGUUUCAAUACGGAUCUUGUUCUAAAUUCGCAGCAUUUCUUAGCAAAUUUGGCGACUUGACUGAUAGGUGCACUUACUUUUGCUGACAGUGUGCAGGUUGACAGUGUCUGUUUCUGCUGAUGGUGUUAUUCUGUAUUUAUUCUUUAUUCAAUUAUUACCCUACUUAGCUCGAAGGCGCUGCAGCAGGCAAGUUACAAUGUCAAGAAAAAUAAAUCUGCAUUAAUACAGCACACUUUGUUCUCUUGACAAACAAUUUCAUUUGCUGAUGGAACGAACAAAGAAUGAAUUAGCAUACAAAUUUGAUCUGUUAAGGUACUCUGAAACCUUAACAGUGAUCAUUGUACAAAAAGACAUAACUAGGACUGUGGAGGUACAUUUCUUUUUGAAUACUGGUUUUACCAUGAAAUCUUUGAUACAGGAGCUUUAAUCAGUUUCCUUCAAAAAGAUGAGAAUAAUUCCCAUCCUAGCUCGUUUUUCCUAUUGGUGCAACUGUCAUUUCUUAAGUACUGAUAGGACAAACCUUGCCACUCUGUUUCUAUGCUUCUUUCACAAGUAUUUUAGGGUUAGAUGCUCACAUUCCAGAAGGACUAAAAAUUGGUAGUUGGUGCCUGUUCUAUUAGUGUUUCAUCUCACUUUAUUUUUGCACCUUAGUAACUAUACCACUAUGUCUGACCUAGUACUAACUCCAACAAGAGCUCUGCUGCAUGUAUUGUGUUAAUAUUAUACUGUGGUUACAUAACAUGGAUGCAUUGAAUAAAGAGAUGUUACGAUUAAAA